UAGGGAAUAUUGGACAAUGGGCGAAAGCCUGACCCAGCAACGCCGCGUGAAGGAUGAAGUAUUUCGGUAUGUAAACUUCGAAAGAAUAGGAAGAAUAAAUGACGGUACUAUUUAUAAGGUCCGGCUAACUACGUGCCAGCAGCCGCGGUAAUACGUAGGGACCAAGCGUUGUUCGGAUUUACUGGGCGUAAAGGGCGCGUAGGCGGCAAUUCAAGUCAUCUGUGAAAUCUCCGGGCUUAACUCGGAACGGUCAGAUGAUACUGCUUUGCUAGAGUGCAGAAGGGGCAAUCGGAAUUCUUGGUGUAGCGGUGAAAUGCGUAGAUAUCAAGAGGAACACCUGAGGUGAAGACGGGUUGCUGGGCUGACACUGACGCUGAGGCGCGAAAGCCAGGGGAGCAAACGGGAUUAGAUACCCAAGUAGUCCCUGAGCGGGCUGGCAAGGCGCAU
Molecule: ribosomal RNA, 447 nt
Filed under: uncultured bacterium
Lineage: Bacteria
Description: bacterial SSU rRNA
Rfam family: Bacterial small subunit ribosomal RNA
Source: RNAcentral